CCAAAUAAAAUAAUUUCUGUUGCUUGUCAUAUCAUUUCCUCUAAUAGCUGUGGUGGUUUCUGGGAGACUCCCCUGGCCCGAGAAGUCCUCUCAGAAACAACUUUGCUCCUCCUCAAGACAACCUCAACUUUUCUUCUCAGCCUCGGCUCUUCUUUCCUCCAAUACAGCAAUCCUAUCAUCUCGAGAGGUGGCUAUUCCCCUUCUCACGACUCCCAAGUUUUCCAGAAGCAGCACUUCCCUGACUUAACAACUUCUGCUUUUGUUAACACGUCCUGCUGCGCUGCCUGCCUCUCCCUGGGCGUGCUUCAGGGUGCGGACACUCGCCCUGAGAGCCGGGUAGGACACACAACGUGUGGCAUGAAGCCUACCCUUCACUGCGGACACCUUGGAGAUGCCGGGGUGACCCCAAUGGAGAUGUACAGGGCAAGCCCCUCCAUUGGGCCUGGGGGUGUGGGGGACGAGCAGGGCACAGCUGCGCUCCCACCUGGGGCCCAGCAAGGACUCUGUUUGCCUUCUCUGGCUGCCGGGGGCUCGGAGGGCUCCACGUUUUCUGCACAUUCUCCAGUAGGAAUAAACCCUCCAGAGUUUCAGGCUCUGUCAUACCCCAUGAAACCGCCUCAACACCCAACUCCACGCCAGACGGGUGCGUGCCUGCCCGCUUUCGGCAAUGCCACUCACCGUGCAAACGGGUGCGUUGGCUAGCCAGGCUAAUUGGUUUAUGGAUAACAUUAAUUACCAUGUUGCUCAUUAAUGGAUGAAAUCUUUAUUGGUGCCAUUGAUCAGCAGACUUGUUAGCUGGCCUCCUAACCAAUGGCGGAUAUAACAAGCUCUCUUAUUGGCAUAUCAAUUAAUGCAAUCAAUUCCUGGCCAGAGGCUGCCAUUCGCUUCCCUGGUUGUUCAGGGGUAGGAGACAGAGCCAUGUCAAGCAUGCCUUUCCUUAGAGUUCCCCCUUCUCAACUGACUUCCAGGUGCUUCCUCGGCCACUUGGGGCUCCCCUAUCCAAAAAAAAAAAAAAAUCACACCUACCCUUCCAUGUGAAAAAUCACCUUUCCAUCUUCCACUAGUGACAAAAUUGCUACUCUGUCAGGAUACGUAAGCUAGGAAGAAAAUGGAAGGACCUGGGACUAUUAAAGUAAACAGGAGGGCUGGAGGAAUCUGGAGAUGUUUCCAGAUUAGACACUAACGGAAAUGAUUUAGUCCCCAGACCGGCCUCUGGACAACGAUCACAUAAGCUUGAAAACACAAACCAUAGGCAUCAACCCUCUGCCCACCCAGGGAAGCCUUCCCAGACCUCCCAACCUCCUCCACACACAAUCACAUCUGCUGACCGCACCGGACGGCACCCGUCUCACUCAGAGCCUCCGACUGACGGAUCCGGCAGGAAAACUUCACCCGCUCACCUUGAAUCCCAAGCUUUGGUACCAAAAAGGACUUUUCCCAUCAGGGACCACAACAUGCCUGGUAAAUCUGUGCACACAGGGGCACUCUAAUGUUCGUUGAAAUGCACACAAUGAAUCUCUUCGAUAGCACUCAUAUCCCUAUAAAGUCACAGCUGGGGAAAAACUUCUCUAGGCAGCAACACAUCUUUAGUUAAGUUGUUUUAGAAAAGGCUCAGGGUCUGGGUGUGGGUGGAUUCCAGGCCCAGGGAUUUACAGCUGGACUUUACUGAGGACCAGCGAACACCAGGGCAUUAGCACUACAGCAAAGGGCAUGAGCCGACAGACCAUGGCUUUGGAAAGGUAAGUGGGGAACGCCUGACACCCCCCCCAAGGUGGGCUUUAAAAGGAUCACCUGCAGUUUGCCCCCAAAGGGAGAAGCUUGAAAUAUUAUUCUAGAUUUGUUUCUAAAAGCCAAAAAUAAAUUACAUGUAAAAAGGGAAGAAAAUCACUACUCUACUUGGCGGUGCCAAUGCUAUUAAUAAACUUUGCAAGCACAAACAUUUAAUUCAAGGCGAGAGGGUAGAAGCAGCAAGAAUUGGUAAAAAAGCAGACAGGGUGGGAAAGCAAGCUGCUUUGGGUAGAGCGGUGACAGAGAGCGCGGGAGGGUGGCCGAGGCCACAGCUCAGGGACAUCAUCCUUAGCAUUUGGGAGCACAGCUCAAGGUUUCUAGGAUAAACAGUAGAAAUACUUCCUCUGAUUUAUAAAUAGAAAGUGACUUCUUUCCCUACGGACCAUCCGUACCUUCCAUAUUCACAGGGCAGAGGCAAGUCCUGAACAGACCGAGGCAGGGGCCACAGGGAGAUGAUCCAGCCAGGAGCCAAGGGGCUUCAGAGAGGAGACCAGUGCCUCCUUAACCUGCAAAGUCCUUCUCCAUGGAGCAGAAAGCUGCACAAUCUGCGCCAUGGUCACCCGACACAGGUGACGGGGAGAUACCCAGACGAGGGGCCUGUGGCCAACCACUCAACACCACAGUGAUUCUUGCUAUAAGAGCAGCCCUGGGGUCUUCCAACACCAGGAGUCUCCAGGUGCCUCUAAGGCAGAGCUUGUGGAGUUCGAAGGUCUCCGAACAGCUUGCUGGGGACCCCCGGAAUGCUAGCAGGAGUUCUGCAAAGUUUGGCCCAAUUUUAAGUUGUUUAUUGAAUUACUGGCUCUUACUAAAUGUUGUGAUAAGAAAAACCUACUCAAAUAUGGUGUUUGCCAAAAUGUAACACACUGGAGGACAGGCCAUGAACUCUGGCCAAGCUAGAGUUUGUGUGGACCUCAGGGUAAUACAUCUGCCCUCCCUACUUAAUCCGAGAGUCUUCUGAGGUGGCAAGAUACGAUGCUUUAAAAAAAAAAAAAAAUUAAUGUUUGGAACUACUUCCCCAUGAGCAAGGAUCUGCACAAAAAUGAAACCAAAAUGAAAGCCAUGAACAAAACAAAAGCUU
Molecule: long non-coding RNA, 2866 nt
Filed under: Mustela putorius furo (domestic ferret)
Lineage: Eukaryota; Metazoa; Chordata; Mammalia; Carnivora; Mustelidae
Description: lncRNA (ENSMPUG00000030043.1)
Source: RNAcentral